GGGGUUGUGGCUCAGUGGUAGAGUGCUUGCCUAGCAUGCAUGAGACACUGGGUUCGAUCCUCGCCACCAUA
This 71-nucleotide transfer RNA is filed under the name Ictidomys tridecemlineatus (thirteen-lined ground squirrel). Its description in RNAcentral is "Spermophilus tridecemlineatus (thirteen-lined ground squirrel) tRNA". It matches the Rfam family "tRNA". Rfam says of the family: Transfer RNA (tRNA) molecules are approximately 80 nucleotides in length. Their secondary structure includes four short double-helical elements and three loops (D, anti-codon, and T loops). The record is from Rfam by way of RNAcentral. Lineage: Eukaryota; Metazoa; Chordata; Mammalia; Rodentia; Sciuridae.